RNAcentral lists this ribosomal RNA (216 nucleotides) under Pichia kudriavzevii. Its description in RNAcentral is "partial 26S ribosomal RNA". It matches the Rfam family "Eukaryotic large subunit ribosomal RNA", at positions 56 to 281 of the family's 3401-position model. Lineage: Eukaryota; Fungi; Ascomycota; Pichiomycetes; Pichiales; Pichiaceae. The record is from RNAcentral.
CGCCCCAAAGGGAAUGGCCUCAGUAGCGGCGAGUGAAGCGGCAAGAGCUCAGAUUUGAAAUCGUGCUUUGCGGCACGAGUUGUAGAUUGCAGGUUGGAGUCUGUGUGGAAGGCGGUGUCCAAGUCCCUUGGAACAGGGCGCCCAGGAGGGUGAGAGCCCCGUGGGAUGCCGGCGGAAGCAGUGAGGCCCUUCUGACGAGUCGAGUUGUUUGGGAAU